Molecule: ribosomal RNA, 789 nt
Filed under: uncultured Bacteroidota bacterium
Lineage: Bacteria; Pseudomonadati; Bacteroidota
Description: bacterial SSU rRNA
Rfam family: Bacterial small subunit ribosomal RNA
Source: RNAcentral
GGGGGCAGCAAUGUCACCGGCGAACGGGUGCGUAACGCGUAUGCAACCUACCUACAUCAGGGGGAUAGCCCUAGGAAACUGGGAUUAACACCGCAUAACAAUAGAGUUGGUAUCAACUUUAUUUGAAAUAUUUAUAGGAUGUAGAUGGGCAUGCGUAGGAUUAGCUAGUUGGUAAGGUAACGGCUUACCAAGGCUACGAUCCUUAGGGGCUCUGAGAGGAGUAUCCCCCACACUGGCACUGAGAUACGGGCCAGACUCCUACGGGAGGCAGCAGUAGGGAAUAUUGGGCAAUGGAGGCAACUCUGACCCAGCCAUGCCGCGUGCAGGAAGACGGUCCUCUGGAUUGUAAACUGCUUUUGAAUGGGAAGAAUGUGCUCCUUGCGAGGGGUAAUGACGGUACCAUUAGAAUAAGCCACGGCUAACUACGUGCCAGCAGCCGCGGUAAUACGUAGGUGGCGAGCGUUAUCCGGAUUUAUUGGGUUUAAAGGGUGCGUAGGCGGCUUAAUAAGUCGGUGGUUAAAAGUAGCAGCUUAACUGUUUUACAUGCCAUCGAUACUGUUGAGCUUGAGAUAUUUGGAGGCAGCUAGAAUUUCCGGUGUAGCGGUGAAAUGCAUAGAUACCGGAAGGAAUACCAAUUGCGAAGGCAGGUUGCUACGAAUAAACUGACGCUGAUGCACGAAAGCGUGGGGAUCAAACAGGAUUAGAUACCCUGGUAGUCCACGCCGUAAACGAUGAUUACUAGUUGUUGGGGUUUAAGCUUCAGUGACCAAGGGAAACCGAUAAGUAAUC